UCCUGACUGACCGAUAGUGAACCAGUACCGUGAGGGAAAGGCGAAAAGAACCCCGGCGAGGGGAGUGAAAAAGAACCUGAAACCGUGUACGUACAAGCAGUGGGAGCACGCUUAGGCGUGUGACUGCGUACCUUUUGUAUAAUGGGUCAGCGACUUAUAUUCUGUAGCAAGGUUAACCGAAUAGGGGAGCCGAAGGGAAACCGAGUCUUAACUGGGCGUUAAGUUGCAGGGUAUAGACCCGAAACCCGGUGAUCUAGCCAUGGGCAGGUUGAAGGUUGGGUAACACUAACUGGAGGACCGAACCGACUAAUGUUGAAAAAUUAGCGGAUGACUUGUGGCUGGGGGUGAAAGGCCAAUCAAACCGGGAGAUAGCUGGUUCUCCCCGAAAGCUAUUUAGGUAGCGCCUCGUGAAUUCAUCUCCGGGGGUAGAGCACUGUUUCGGCAAGGGGGUCAUCCCGACUUACCAACCCGAUGCAAACUGCGAAUACCGGAGAAUGUUAUCACGGGAGACACACGGCGGGUGCUAACGUCCGUCGUGAAGAGGGAAACAACCCAGACCGCCAGCUAAGGUCCCAAAGUCAUGGUUAAGUGGGAAACGAUGUGGGAAGGCCCAGACAGCCAGGAUGUUGGCUUAGAAGCAGCCAUCAUUUAAAGAAAGCGUAAUAGCUCACUGGUCGAGUCGGCCUGCGCGGAAGAUGUAACGGGGCUAAACCAUGCACCGAAGCUGCGGCAGCGACGCUUAUGCGUUGUUGGGUAGGGGAGCGUUCUGUAAGCCUGCGAAGGUGUGCUGUGAGGCAUGCUGGAGGUAUCAGAAGUGCGAAUGCUGACAUAAGUAACGAUAAAGCGGGUGAAAAGCCCGCUCGCCGGAAGACCAAGGGUUCCUGUCCAACGUUAAUCGGGGCAGGGUGAGUCGACCCCUAAGG
This 923-nucleotide ribosomal RNA is filed under the name Shigella sonnei. Its description in RNAcentral is "partial 23S ribosomal RNA". It matches the Rfam family "Bacterial large subunit ribosomal RNA", at positions 474 to 1396 of the family's 2925-position model. The record is from RNAcentral. Lineage: Bacteria; Pseudomonadati; Pseudomonadota; Gammaproteobacteria; Enterobacterales; Enterobacteriaceae.